This 515-nucleotide ribosomal RNA is filed under the name Citrobacter koseri. RNAcentral's name for it is "partial 23S ribosomal RNA". It matches the Rfam family "Bacterial large subunit ribosomal RNA", at positions 678 to 1191 of the family's 2925-position model. Lineage: Bacteria; Pseudomonadati; Pseudomonadota; Gammaproteobacteria; Enterobacterales; Enterobacteriaceae. The record is from RNAcentral.
CGAGUCUUAACUGGGCGUUAAGUUGCAGGGUAUAGACCCGAAACCCGGUGAUCUAGCCAUGGGCAGGUUGAAGGUUGGGUAACACUAACUGGAGGACCGAACCGACUAAUGUUGAAAAAUUAGCGGAUGACCUGUGGCUGGGGGUGAAAGGCCAAUCAAACCGGGAGAUAGCUGGUUCUCCCCGAAAGCUAUUUAGGUAGCGCCUCGUGAAUUCAUCUCCGGGGGUAGAGCACUGUUUCGGCUAGGGGGCCAUCCCGGCUUACCAACCCGAUGCAAACUGCGAAUACCGGAGAAUGUUAUCACGGGAGACACACGGCGGGUGCUAACGUCCGUCGUGAAGAGGGAAACAACCCAGACCGCCAGCUAAGGUCCCAAAGUCAUGGUUAAGUGGGAAACGAUGUGGGAAGGCCCAGACAGCCAGGAUGUUGGCUUAGAAGCAGCCAUCAUUUAAAGAAAGCGUAAUAGCUCACUGGUCGAGUCGGCCUGCGCGGAAGAUGUAACGGGGCUAAACCAUG